GAUGUACCCCCUCCGUUCAGAAUUACUUGUCACAAUAAUGGAUGUAUCUACAACUAAAAUACAUCUAGAUACAUUCAUUUCUUGGAUGAGUAAUUCCGAACGGAGGGAGUAGUUA
Non-coding RNA from Triticum aestivum (bread wheat), 115 nucleotides. Lineage: Eukaryota; Viridiplantae; Streptophyta; Magnoliopsida; Poales; Poaceae. The record is from Rfam.